GUCUACAGCCAUACCACCCUGAAUGCACCCCAUUUCCUCUGAUCUUGGAAGCUAAGCAGGGUCAGGCCUGGUUAGUACUUAGUACUUGGAUGAGAGACAUGUCUCUAAGUGCAGAUU
Molecule: ribosomal RNA, 117 nt
Filed under: Meriones unguiculatus (Mongolian gerbil)
Lineage: Eukaryota; Metazoa; Chordata; Mammalia; Rodentia; Muridae
Source: RNAcentral